AAAUCAAUGUGAUUAUAUUCCAAAAAUUCCACAGGAGUGAGAUUGCAGGCUCAUUCUUAGUGAUUGUGUAGAAGAGAAGCUACAGAACUGCAAAGCUGCAGCAACCACAUGGGAAUAUCAGGGAAACAUCAACACCCAGGCAGGAUGUGGUCUGGAAAGGGGCCAGCCAGGCUGCACCACUUCUCAGGUUCAACAGCAGGGACGAGAAAGACCAAAUGGCGCCCAGGGGUCCUGCUGAAGUCAGAGGUAGAAAUCUCAGCUACAGGCUCCAGGGGACAUCCAGGAGGCCUUGAAGAGAUCCUUUCAGAUUCUUUGUGUGACUUCGCUGAACAAGGAUCUCUCCAGUGACGAUCUGACCUGAAGUCACCUCAGAAAGGUGUGUCUCUGACAUCUGAGGAAAUGGACCAGAGUCGGAAACCAGCUUGUUUCCCCCACCUCCACGUCACCUCUGAGAACUGAACCAUCAGGUACAAAUAUUGAAAGAAUCGUUCAAGAAUCUGGCUACCAAAUA
RNAcentral lists this long non-coding RNA (511 nucleotides) under Ictidomys tridecemlineatus (thirteen-lined ground squirrel). Its description in RNAcentral is "lncRNA (ENSSTOG00000033253.1)". Lineage: Eukaryota; Metazoa; Chordata; Mammalia; Rodentia; Sciuridae. The record is from RNAcentral.